UACGAGGGAUGCAAGCGUUAUCCGGAAUUAUUGGGCGUAAAGCGUUUGUAGGCGGGCGAGUGUGUUUAAUGUUAAAUCUUAAAGCUCAACUUUGAAAUUGCGUUAAAAACUGCUUGUCUUGAGUAUGGUAGGGGUAAAGGGAAUUCCCAGUGUAGCGGUGAAAUGCGUAGAUAUUGGGAAGAACACUAAACAGCGAAGGCACUUUACUAGGCUAAUACUGACGCUGAGAAACGAAAGGUAAGGUAGCGAAACGGAUUAGAUACCCGUGUAGUCUUACCCGUAAACUAUGGACACUAAACGGUAAAUUUUUAAUUUACUGUUAAAGCUAACGCGUUAAGUGUCCCGCCUGGGGAGUAUGCUUGCAAAAGUGAAACUCAAAGGAAUUGACGGGGGCCCGCACAAGCGGUGGAGCAUGUGGUUUAAUUCGACGGUACACGAAGAACCUUACCAGGAUUUGACAUGCUAGAUAGUUGCUUGAAAGAGUAACGUGCCGUAAGGAAUCUAGACACAGGUGGUGCAUGGCUGUCGUCAAGUUCGUGUUGUGAAAAUGUUGGGUUAAGUCCCGCAACGAACGCAACCCUUGUCUUUAGUUAUUUUCUAAAGAGACUGCCUGUAAUAAACAGGAGGAAGGUAAGGAUGAGGUCAAGUCAUCAUGCCCCUUAUGUCCUGGGCUACACACGUGCUACAAUGGGAAAGACAAUGAGCUGCAAAAUCUGUAAAUUUAAGCAAAAUCUCUUAAACUUUCUCG
Molecule: ribosomal RNA, 748 nt
Filed under: uncultured bacterium
Lineage: Bacteria
Description: bacterial SSU rRNA
Rfam family: Bacterial small subunit ribosomal RNA
Source: RNAcentral